UAACGUGCCCUUUAGUCGGGGAUAGCUGGCCGAAAGGCCAGGUAAUACCGGGUGAGAUUACAGAUGGGCAUCCAUUUGUAAUGAAAGCAGCAAUGCGCUAGAGGAGCGGUCUGCGGCCUAUUAGCUUGUUGGUGAGGUAAAGGCUCACCAAGGCGACGAUGGGUAGCCGGUCUGAGAGGAUGAUCGGCCACACUGGCACUGAGAUACGGGCCAG
RNAcentral lists this ribosomal RNA (214 nucleotides) under uncultured bacterium. Its description in RNAcentral is "partial 16S ribosomal RNA". It matches the Rfam family "Bacterial small subunit ribosomal RNA", at positions 122 to 334 of the family's 1533-position model. The record is from RNAcentral.